GAUGAACGCUGGCGGCGUGCCUAAUACAUGCAAGUCGAGCGAACGGACGAGAAGCUUGCUUCUCUGAUGUUAGCGGCGGACGGGUGAGUAACACCUGGAUAACCUACCUAUAAGACUGGGAUAACUUCGGGAAACCGUAGCUAAUACCGGAUAAUAUUUUGAACCGCAUGGUUCAAAAGUGAAAGACGGUCUUGCUGUCACUUAUAGAUGGAUCCGCGCUGCAUUAGCUAGUUGGUAAGGUAACGGCCUACCAAGGCAACGAUGCAUAGCCGACCUGAGAGGGUGACCGGCCACACUGGGACUGAGACACGGUCCAGACUCCUACGGGAGGCAGCAGUAGGGAAUUUUGCGCAAUGGGCGAAAGCCUGACGGAGCAACGCCGCGUGAGUGAUGAAGGUCUUCGGAUCGUAAAACUCUGUUAUUAGGGAAGAACAUAUGUGUAAGUAACUGUUCACAUCUUGACGGUACCUAAUCAGAAAGCCACGGCUAACUACGUG
This 497-nucleotide ribosomal RNA is filed under the name uncultured bacterium. RNAcentral's name for it is "partial 16S ribosomal RNA". It matches the Rfam family "Bacterial small subunit ribosomal RNA", at positions 28 to 507 of the family's 1533-position model. The record is from RNAcentral.